GACGAACGCUGGCGGCGUGCUUAACACAUGCAAGUCGAACGGAAAGGCCCUGCUUUUGUGGGGUGCUCGAGUGGCGAACGGGUGAGUAACACGUGAGUCACCUGCCCUUGACUUUGGGAUAACUUCAGGAAACUGGGGCUAAUACCGGAUAGGAGCUCCUGCUGCAUGGUGGGGGUUGGAACGUUUCGGCGGUUGGGGAUGGACUCGCGGCUUAUCAGCUUGUUGGUGGGGUAGUGGCUUACCAAGGCUUUGGCGGGUAGCCGGCCUGGGAGGGUGACCGGCCACAUUGGGACUGAGAUACGGCCCAGACUCCUACGGGAGACAGCAGUGGGGAAUAUUGCACACUGGGCGGAAGCCUGAUGCAGCAACGCCGCGUGCGGAAUGACGGCCUUCGGGUUGUAAACCGCUUCCGCCUGUGACGAAGCGUGAGUGACGGUAAUGGGUAAAGAAGCACCGGCUAACUACGUG
RNAcentral lists this ribosomal RNA (468 nucleotides) under uncultured bacterium. RNAcentral describes it as "partial 16S ribosomal RNA". It matches the Rfam family "Bacterial small subunit ribosomal RNA", at positions 28 to 507 of the family's 1533-position model. The record is from RNAcentral.